GGGGGCUUAGCUCAGUUGGUAGAGCGGCGCCCUUACAAGGCGUAGGUCGGCAGUUCGAGCCUGUCAGCCCCUACCA
Molecule: transfer RNA, 76 nt
Filed under: Massilia glaciei
Lineage: Bacteria; Pseudomonadati; Pseudomonadota; Betaproteobacteria; Burkholderiales; Oxalobacteraceae
Also listed under: 1 other name
Description: tRNA-Val
Rfam family: tRNA
About the family: Transfer RNA (tRNA) molecules are approximately 80 nucleotides in length. Their secondary structure includes four short double-helical elements and three loops (D, anti-codon, and T loops).
Source: RNAcentral